This 37-nucleotide ribosomal RNA is filed under the name Heterodera zeae. RNAcentral's name for it is "partial 5.8S ribosomal RNA". Lineage: Eukaryota; Metazoa; Nematoda; Chromadorea; Rhabditida; Heteroderidae. The record is from RNAcentral.
GAGAUUCUAGUCUUAUCGGGUGGAUCACUCGGCUCGU